AUUGAACGCUGGCGGCAGGCCUAACACAUGCAAGUCGAACGGUAACAGGAAGCAGCUUGCUGCUUUGCUGACGAGUGGCGGACGGGUGAGUAAUGUCUGGGAAACUGCCCGAUGGAGGGGGAUAACUACUGGAAACGGUAGCUAAUACCGCAUAACGUCGCAAGACCAAAGAGGGGGACCUUAGGGCCUCUUGCCAUCGGAUGUUCCCAGAUGGGAUUAGCUAGGAGGUGGGGUAACGGCUCACCUAGGCGACGAUCCCUAGCUGGUCUGAGAGGAUGACCAGCCACCCUGGAACUGAGACACGGUCCAGACUCCUGAGGGAGGCAGCAGUGGGGAACAUUGCACAAUGGGCGCAAGCCUGAUGCAGCCAUGCCGCGUGUAUGAAGAAGGCCUUCGGGUUGUAAAGUACUUUCAGCGGGGAGGAAGGGAGUAAAGUUAAUACCUUGGCUCAUUGACGUUACCCGCAGAAGAAGCACCGGCUAACUCCGUG
Molecule: ribosomal RNA, 490 nt
Filed under: uncultured bacterium
Lineage: Bacteria
Description: partial 16S ribosomal RNA
Rfam family: Bacterial small subunit ribosomal RNA
Source: RNAcentral